Molecule: long non-coding RNA, 1513 nt
Organism: Lineus longissimus
Lineage: Eukaryota; Metazoa; Nemertea; Pilidiophora; Heteronemertea; Lineidae
Exons: 4
Source: RefSeq, a predicted model, not a curated record
UUGUGUAGUGAAAAGUGCUGAGCUAUGGAUUCACUUCACCUCGCCGCCAUCCCCAAGUUCUUGGAGGGUCAAUUCAUACUGUGAACUUAUUGAGGAUCAACAUUGAAGACGAACACACAAAAACAGGGCUGAAAAGAAUGACUGGCCAGGAUGGUUGUGCCGAGCUGCACCGUGGAUAACUGUUAGGGGAGAAAAGGGAGCCAAGCAUCUCUGCCCCUCCAUCUGAUGGCACAGUCUGGAAAAGAGAACAGCUAACACACCAUCCUCCUCCUGGUAAUGAAGCCAAGAUCAGUCCACAUGCUGAGGGUUGCAACUCCAACACCACUAACAAGAUUUCACUGUGAUCAGCUGACUGCAGCAAAAUCUGACUGGAGAAAAUGAUGAAGGAAUCUACAAUGUCGUUGCAAGGACAAGCACUCUUUGAAUACAAGCACCUCAAUGUAAAAACCACUGGUAAUUGAAGCUGGUAGAGCGCCGUGACAUCUCUUGGAAACAAGCUGGGUUAUGGACAAGGAUCACGUCAACCAAGAGUUGCAAGUUCAAAUGUCUUUGUCUUCGAAGAACUAUGCAUUUCAGUUGGAUCAGCUGAACACGAUAGGGCCCCUUCCAUUCUGACUGGAAAAGACGUCUAUCAUCUAUGGUCUGUACAUGAUCAAGGGUAUCCACAGUUUCCUUGCUGGGAUAAAUGGAAAGCAGUAGAAUUCAAGGACGGUGUGACAGCUUUUCCUGUCCUUGCCAGGGAUCUAAAUAUUUUAUGGCAUCAUUCCGUCAUAUAUUGCAAUGUCCACAAUCAUUUUAUUGUCAUCUUUUAGUGGCUCUCCUUAAUUAAAAGUUUAAGAAUGAAUAGUAGAGCGUAUUUGACAAGACCGGCCAUUUGGGAUCAAAGUCACUGUCCAGUUAAGUGAGUGCAAGAGGAGAUCAUUGAAAAGUUGUAAAUCUGGUUAUUGGAGUAAAGAUUGUACAAUGGAAUAUCCACAGGUUAAAGAGCCAAUUAAGUGCCGCCAGGAGAGCCACGAGCCAAAGAAAAAGUAUAGGCUUGAAUGAAUAUAAUUCAUUAUCUUUGGGAAUCCUAAGCCUACAGGUACCCUACUUGAUAAAAAUAAAUUUAUUUUGUAACCGUUUAUGACGUCGUAAGACAUCGCCGGCUGGAUAGUGGUAUUGUUAACAGUCUACCAUGCCAAGAUUUUUUAUCAUACUGUUGUUACGCCGUCUAUACAAUAUGCCGGGUACAGUGUACAUUGAGUCUGCACUUCACACACUGCGUACUCACACAUGUUUGUCAUUCCUGCCGUAUCAUGUAGCCUUGCAGAAAUAGUGCAAUCAAAAUUGUUUUAAAAAGGCAUACAUGUAUUUCUGAAAUUUGUAAAUUCUUAAUUGAAUUCUACCAAUUCAAGCAAUUUGAUAGCGUAGUGAUACACUAUCACUAGGGCCUACCGGUACUCUGCAUAUCUGUACUGUAAAAAAACGGUGCUCGCGGCUCUUGGCUCUCAGAUUGGGGUGUCCCAAUGACCAC